Molecule: long non-coding RNA, 114 nt
Organism: Sinocyclocheilus rhinocerous
Lineage: Eukaryota; Metazoa; Chordata; Actinopteri; Cypriniformes; Cyprinidae
Exons: 3
Source: RefSeq, a predicted model, not a curated record
GAUAUACUAUUAUAGAUCUGUGGUGGUGCGCGCGCGUUUGGUGUAAGUGCGAAACCUGCGGGAAUGACUAAAAUAAUGCGCAAUACAAGCGCUAUUUAACCGGAGCGAAUGAGA